Molecule: ribosomal RNA, 247 nt
Filed under: uncultured bacterium
Lineage: Bacteria
Description: partial 16S ribosomal RNA
Rfam family: Bacterial small subunit ribosomal RNA
Source: RNAcentral
AUACGAAGGGGGCUAGCGUUGUUCGGAAUUACUGGGCGUAAAGCGCACGUAGGCGGGCAUUUAAGUCAGGGGUGAAAUCCCAGAGCUCAACUCUGGAACUGCCUUUGAUACUGGGUGUCUUGAGUAUGGAAGAGGUGAGUGGAAUUCCGAGUGUAGAGGUGAAAUUCGUAGAUAUUCGGAGGAACACCAGUGGCGAAGGCGGCUCACUGGUCCAUUACUGACGCUGAGGUGCGAAAGCGUGGGGAGC